Molecule: non-coding RNA, 185 nt
Filed under: Candidatus Carsonella ruddii CS isolate Thao2000
Lineage: Bacteria; Pseudomonadati; Pseudomonadota; Gammaproteobacteria; Oceanospirillales; Halomonadaceae
Source: RNAcentral
GGGGGUGUUAGGUUUUGACGUUAUUAUAAAUUAAAAAAAAUUUUAUUGACAUGAAUUUAAAAAUAUAGUAAAUCAUACUAAUAAAAUUUAUAAUAUUAAAUAAUAAAUUAAUACUAACUAAUUAAUCAUGUAAAUUAUUUUUUUAAAAAUAACGGAUAUGAGUUCGAUUCUCAUCAUCUCCACCA